This 1477-nucleotide ribosomal RNA is filed under the name uncultured prokaryote. RNAcentral's name for it is "partial 16S ribosomal RNA". It matches the Rfam family "Bacterial small subunit ribosomal RNA". The record is from RNAcentral.
AGAGUUUGAUCAUGGCUCAGAUUGAACGUUGGCGGCAGGCCUAAUACAUGCAAGUCGAGCGGUAACAGAUCUAGCUUGCUAGAUGCUGACGAGCGGCGGACGGGUGAGUAACGCGUAGGAAUCUAUCCAGUAGCGGGGGAUAGCCCAGGGAAACUUGGAUUAAUACCGCAGCCGGGAUCUAUUUAUAGACCGGUCACUAUUGGAGGAGCCUGCGUUAGAUUAGCUAGUUGGUAGGGUAAAGGCCUACCAAGGCGACGAUCUAUAGCUGUUCUGAGAGGAAGAUCAGCCACACUGGAACUGAGACACGGUCCAGACUCCUACGGGAGGCAGCAGUAGGGAAUAUUGUGCAAUGGGGGAAACCCUGACACAGCCAUGCCGCGUGUGUGAAGAAGGCCCUAGGGUUGUAAAGCACUUUCAGUAGGGAGGAUAAGGUUGGAUUAAUUCGGACGUUAGCUGCAGAAGAAGUACCGGCUAACUCCGUGCCAGCAGCCGCGGUAAUACAGAGGGUGCGAGCGUUAAUCGGAAUUACUGGGCGUAAAGGGUUCGUAGGCGGGUAGAUAAGUUGGACGUGAAAGCCCUGGGCUCAACCUAGGAACUGCAUUCAAAACUGUCUAGCUAGAGUAUUGUAGAGGAAAGUGGAAUUUCCGGUGUAGCGGUGAAAUGCGUAGAUAUCGGAAGGAAUAUCAGUGGCGAAGGCGACUUUCUGGACAAAUACUGACGCUGAGGAACGAAAGCCGUGGGUAGCGAACAGGAUUAGAUACCCUGGUAGUCCACCCCGUAAACGAUCUCAACUAGCUGUUGGAGGACUUGAUCCUUUAGUGGCGCAGCUAACGCGUUAAGUUGACCGCCUGGGGAGUACGGCCGCAAGGUUAAAACUCAAAUGAAUUGACGGGGGCCCGCACAAGCGGUGGAGCAUGUGGUUUAAUUCGACGCAACGCGAAGAACCUUACCUACUCUUGACAUCCUCAGAACUUUCCAGAGAUGGAUUGGUGCCUUCGGGAACUGAGUGACAGGUGCUGCAUGGCUGUCGUCAGCUCGUGUCGUGAGAUGUUGGGUUAAGUCCCGUAACGAGCGCAACCCUUGUCCUUAUUUGCCAGCACGUAAUGGUGGGAACUUUAAGGAGACUGCCGGUGACAGCGCGGAGGAAGGUGGGGACGACGUCAAGUCAUCAUGGCCAUGAUGACUUGGGCUACACACGUGCUACAAUGGCCGGUACAGAGGGUUGCAAAGCCGCGAGGUGGAGCAAAUCCCAGAAAGCCGGUCGUAGUCCGGAUUGGAGUCUGCAACUCGACUCCAUGAAGUCGGAAUCGCUAGUAAUCGCGAAUCAGAAUGUCGCGGUGAAUACGUUCCCGGGCCUUGUACACACCGCCCGUCACACCAUGGGAGUGGGUUGCACCAGAAGUGGUUAGUCUAACCUUCGGGAGGACGAUCACCACGGUGUGAUUCAUGACUGGGGUGAAGUCGGAACAAGGUAGCC